AUUUAUAUAGUUUAAUAUAAAACCUUACAUUUUCAUUGUAAAAAUAAAAUUAUAUUUUUAUAAAUU
RNAcentral lists this transfer RNA (66 nucleotides) under Melanagromyza aenea. RNAcentral describes it as "tRNA-Glu". Lineage: Eukaryota; Metazoa; Arthropoda; Insecta; Diptera; Agromyzidae. The record is from RNAcentral.